Long non-coding RNA from Onychostoma macrolepis, 850 nucleotides. RefSeq lists it as uncharacterized. NCBI's taxonomy places the organism in Eukaryota, Metazoa, Chordata, Actinopteri, Cypriniformes, Cyprinidae. The record is from RefSeq and is a predicted model, not a curated record. The transcript is spliced from 3 exons.
GCACACAGCCGAAGCAUGCAUACAGAAAGCCCCUCUCUCAGACAGCAUGCCUGCACGAUGUUUAAUAACAUUACUAAGUGCAAAAAGCAGUGGAAAAUUACUGUGCCAUACUUAGGAUAUUUUGGCUUCAUUACAGUCUAUGGGGAAGAAGUGGAGACGCGUCGUCGAUCUUUAUAUACAGUCUAUGGUCGCAAUGCAUUUGUCUGUUUUAAUACACAUUGCCAUAUAAGUGUGCCUUGGAUCGUUUUUGAAUGAGACUUAUGGAAUAAGCACAGCGUACCUGAAGUAUCCAAAGACUGCCUGAAUGUAAUUACCAUAAAGACUCAGCAGCGUUUCUACUCCAUUAUCUCCAGGUAUUUUUUCACACUUCACUUGUCUGACCGAUGUCUCCAUCCUCAAGAAGAUUUGAGAGGCCCUGGAUAACAAAGGCAACACAAUCCUGAAGUUCUUCCAAGAUGGGGGGUGCAAGAUGUUUUGGCUUGUUUUGAACCUGAGGCUUCAAACAAGCCUGCAUGCAUUCUUCUCCUCCUGAUGGCAUACUUCAAAGAGCCGAAGGAUGCCAUUGUGCUUGAAGUUGAUUUGACACAAUGAAGUCGAAGGGAUGGAUGCUGUCGUUGGAGGGUCGAGUGGUCAUGGGACCUCACCAGGACUGCACAACUGGUCUGGCUGCCGUUUUUGCCAGCUACUACAAUUCUAAUCUGAAGUGCUUCUUGGGCAUAAAUCCAGAGGCAAGCACAACGUCAAAGAGGCAGAGAGGACAUAUUAACCAGCAAGUCUGUACGCUGAUCAGAAAAAUAAUUGACUUUGAGUGGAUGACAGUCUAGUAUGCAAGCAGUGUUCCAAUGCCAGA